Molecule: ribosomal RNA, 495 nt
Filed under: uncultured bacterium
Lineage: Bacteria
Description: partial 16S ribosomal RNA
Rfam family: Bacterial small subunit ribosomal RNA
Source: RNAcentral
GACGAACGCUGGCGGCGUGCCUAAUACAUGCAAGUAGAACGCUGAAGGAGGAGCUUGCUUCUCUGGAUGAGUUGCGAACGGGUGAGUAACGCGUAGGUAACCUGCCUGGUAGCGGGGGAUAACUAUUGGAAACGAUAGCUAAUACCGCAUAAGAGUAGAUGUUGCAUGACAUUUGCUUAAAAGGUGCAAUUGCAUCACUACCAGAUGGACCUGCGUUGUAUUAGCUAGUUGGUGGGGUAACGGCUUACCAAGGCGACGAUACAUAGCCGACCUGAGAGGGGGAUCGGCCACACUGGGACUGGGACACGGCCCAGACUCCUCCGGGAGGCAGCAGUAGGGAAUCUUCGGCAAUGGACGGAAGUCUGACCGAGCAACGCCGCGUGAGUGAAGAAGGUUUUCGGAUCGUAAAGCUCUGUUGUAAGAGAAGAACGAGUGUGAGAGUGGAAAGUUCACACUGUGACGGUAUCUUACCAGAAAGGGACGGCUAACUACGUG